This 524-nucleotide ribosomal RNA is filed under the name uncultured bacterium. RNAcentral describes it as "partial 16S ribosomal RNA". It matches the Rfam family "Bacterial small subunit ribosomal RNA", at positions 28 to 523 of the family's 1533-position model. The record is from RNAcentral.
GACGAACGCUGGCGGCGUGCCUAAUACAUGCAAGUCGAACGAAGCUGUUUUAACUGGUGCUUGCACCGACUUAAACAACUGAGUGGCGAACGGGUGAGUAACACGUGGGUAACCUGCCCCAAAGCGGGGGAUAACAUUUGGAAACAGAUGCUAAUACCGCAUAACCACAGAAACCACAGGGUUUCUGUAUCAAAGAUGGUUUCGGCUAUCACUUUGGGAUGGACUCGCGGCGUAUUAGCUAGUUGGUAAGGUAAUGGCUUACCAAGUAAAUGAUACGUAGACGAACUGAGAGGUUGAUCGGCCACAUUGGGACUGAGACACGGCCCCAACUCCUACGGGAGGCAGCAGUAGGGAAUCUUCCACAAUGGGCGAAAGCCUGAUGGAGCAACACCGCGUGAGUGAAGAAGGGUUUCGGCUCGUAAAACUCUGUUGUUAAAGAAGAACGUAUCUAAGAGUAACUGCUUAGGUAGUGACGGUAUUUAACCAGAAAGCCACGGCUAACUACGUGCCAGCAGCCGCGGUAA